UACGAAGGGGGCUAGCGUUGCUCGGAAUCACUGGGCGUAAAGGGUGCGUAGGCGGGUCUUUUAGUCAGGGGGGAAAUCCUGGAGCUCAACUCCAGAACUGCCUUUGGUACUGAAGAUCUUGAGUUCGGGAGAGGUGAGUGGAACUGCGAGUGUAGAGGUGAAAUUCGUAGAUAUUCGCAAGAACACCAGUGGCGAAGGCGGCUCACUGGCCCGAUACUGACGCUGAGGCACGAAAGCGUGGGGAGCAAACAGG
This 253-nucleotide ribosomal RNA is filed under the name uncultured bacterium. RNAcentral describes it as "partial 16S ribosomal RNA". It matches the Rfam family "Bacterial small subunit ribosomal RNA", at positions 524 to 776 of the family's 1533-position model. The record is from RNAcentral.